AGGAUCAUUACAGAGUUAGGGUCUUUCAGGCCCGAUCUCCAACCCUUUGUGUACCUACCUUUGUUGCUUUGGCGGGCCCGUUGGGGCGACCCACCGGUGGCCUUCGGCUCCCGAGUGCCCGUCAGAGACCCAUUCAAACCUGUCAAUUGUGUCGUCUGAGUACCAACUUAAUAAUUAAAACUUUCAACAACGGAUCUCUUGGUUCUGGCAUCGAUGAAGAACGCAGCGAAAUGCGAUAAGUAAUGUGAAUUGCAGAACUCAGUGAAUCAUCGAAUCUUUGAACGCACAUUGCGCCUCUCGGUAUUCCGGGAGGCAUGCCUGUUCGAGCGUCAUUACACCACUCAAGCUCGGCUUGGUGUUGGGCCCUCGUCCCCCGCGGACGUGCCCGGAAAUCAGUGGCGGCACAGCCCGGCUUCAAGCGCAUCAGUCGUAACAACGCUUUGGAAGUUCGGGUCUGGGUCUGCCAGACAACCCCACCAUUUAUCAAGGUUGACCUCGGAUCAGGUAGGGAUACCCGCUGAACUUAAGCAUAUCAAUAAGCGGAGGAAAAGAAACCAACAGGGAUUGCCUCAGUAACGGCGAGUGAAGCGGCAACAGCUCAAAUUUGAAAUCUGGCUCUUUCAGGGUCCGAGUUGUAAUUUGCAGAGGAUGCUUCGGGUUUGGCUCCGGUCUAAGUUCCUUGGAACAGGACGUCAUAGAGGGUGAGAAUCCCGUAUGUGACCGGUCGCCACGCCCGUGUGAAGCUCCUUCGACGAGUCGAGUUGUUUGGGAAUGCAGCUCAAAAUGGGUGGUAAAUUUCAUCUAAAGCUAAAUAUUGGCCAGAGACCGAUAGCGCACAAGUAGAGUGAUCGAAAGAUGAAAAGCACUUUGGAAAGAGAGUCAAACAGUACGUGAAAUUGUUGAAAGGGAAGCGCUUGCAAUCAGACUUGCCCGCGGGUGAUCAGCCGGUAUUCUUACCGGUGCACUCGCCCGUGGUCAGGCCAGCAUCGGUUCGGGCGGCUGGAUAAAGUCCACCGGAACGUAGCUCCCCUCGGGGAGUGUUAUAGCCGGAGGUGCCAUGCAGCCCGCCCGGACCGAGGACCGCGCU
Molecule: small RNA, 1087 nt
Filed under: Acarospora privigna
Lineage: Eukaryota; Fungi; Ascomycota; Lecanoromycetes; Acarosporales; Acarosporaceae
Description: sequence contains 18S rRNA gene, ITS1, 5.8S rRNA gene, ITS2, 28S rRNA gene
Rfam family: Eukaryotic large subunit ribosomal RNA (bases 491-1087)
Source: RNAcentral